Molecule: ribosomal RNA, 253 nt
Filed under: uncultured bacterium
Lineage: Bacteria
Description: partial 16S ribosomal RNA
Rfam family: Bacterial small subunit ribosomal RNA
Source: RNAcentral
UACGGAGGGUGCAAGCGUUAUCCGGAAUUAUUGGGCGUAAAGCGUUCGUAGGUGGUUUUGAAAGUUUGCUGUCAAAGCGCGAGGCUCAACUUCGGAUCGGCGGUGGAAACUGCCAGACUAGAGUGAGGUAGGGGUGACGGGAAUUCCCAGUGUAGCGGUGAAAUGCGUAGAUAUUGGGAAGAACACCAGCGGCGAAAGCGCGUGACUGGGCCUGAGCUGACACUCAUGGACGAAAGCUAGGGGAGCGAAAGGG